This 225-nucleotide ribosomal RNA is filed under the name Escherichia coli. RNAcentral describes it as "partial 16S ribosomal RNA". It matches the Rfam family "Bacterial small subunit ribosomal RNA", at positions 1 to 222 of the family's 1533-position model. Lineage: Bacteria; Pseudomonadati; Pseudomonadota; Gammaproteobacteria; Enterobacterales; Enterobacteriaceae. The record is from RNAcentral.
AAAUUGAAGAGUUUGAUCAUGGCUCAGAUUGAACGCUGGCGGCAGGCCUAACACAUGCAAGUCGAACGGUAACAGGAAGCAGCUUGCUGUUUCGCUGACGAGUGGCGGACGGGUGAGUAAUGUCUGGGAAACUGCCUGAUGGAGGGGGAUAACUACUGGAAACGGUAGCUAAUACCGCAUAACGUCGCAAGACCAAAGAGGGGGACCUUCAGGCCUCUUGCCAUC